This 253-nucleotide ribosomal RNA is filed under the name uncultured bacterium. Its description in RNAcentral is "partial 16S ribosomal RNA". It matches the Rfam family "Bacterial small subunit ribosomal RNA", at positions 524 to 776 of the family's 1533-position model. The record is from RNAcentral.
UACGUAGGGUGCAAGCGUUGUCCGGAAUUAUUGGGCGUAAAGAGCUCGUAGGCGGUCUGUUGGGUCGGAUGUGAAAACCCAGGGCUCAACCCUGGGCCUGCAUUCGAUACGGGCAGACUAGAGUUCGGUAGGGGAGACUGGAAUUCCUGGUGUAGCGGUGAAAUGCGCAGAUAUCAGGAGGAACACCGGUGGCGAAGGCGGGUCUCUGGGCCGAAACUGACGCUGAGGAGCGAAAGCGUGGGGAGCAAACAGG